RNAcentral lists this long non-coding RNA (793 nucleotides) under Mus spicilegus (steppe mouse). RNAcentral describes it as "lncRNA (ENSMSIG00000025982.1)". The record is from RNAcentral. Lineage: Eukaryota; Metazoa; Chordata; Mammalia; Rodentia; Muridae.
GUUAUUUUUACUUACUUUCAAGCUUCAUUCAUUCAUUCAUUCGAAAUGCCAGGAAUCAAGCCUAGGGCUUUGUCUCUACCAAAGACCAUGUCCUCAGCCUUACCAUGUGACUUUGAGGAAAUUGUUUCACCUUCUCUGGCUCUCACAAUCUCACAGCUGUUUCCAUUGUUUCUAUAUCUGUCGAUGUGAGUCACUCUAUGAGUGAUUAUAAAGGUGUUGUGAACAGAACCACUAUUUUGAGAACCUUCAAAGUGCCAAUACCUGGAGCUGUGAUGAAUCUGAGAAUUUUGGCACCAAGAAAAGCUACCAGAGUUGUGGAGCCAGGCAAGACUGGGCCCAGGUCACGUGACUAGAAGCCAGCCAGAGCAGCAGGGUGGACUGCUAAGACCAAGUAAAUUCUAGAAGCUGGAGUUCAAGUUAAAGGAAACAUUUACUAAAAACCUGUUAAGAGCAAAUAUCAACAAGGGAGGCAGUUCUAAAUGGGCCGUGAGGGUCAGCCACCAAGAGCCAGAAUGAUGCACAAUGCUGCUAGUGCUGCCGGGUCCACAAGGACUUUCUGCUCCCUCUCCUUCUCAGGGUUUAAGACUUCUGCUAUGUCAUGGGGCCAGUCAUUACAGGGCGGGCAUGAGUUGGAAUUUCACCGUGAAACUCUACGCAUCUUCAAAAAGUCAUUAGGCUGUGAAUUCUGUAAUUAUGGAAAUCGUCAGGCCAGUUCUCUGAGAAUGUUUGCUCCCAUCCAUAAGGUAGUGGAAUGUUCAAUCAGUCUCUCUCGUGGGAAAGUUAGGUCAUAACU